Mustela erminea (ermine) is the source of this 543-nucleotide long non-coding RNA. RefSeq lists it as uncharacterized. The transcript is spliced from 3 exons. The record is from RefSeq and is a predicted model, not a curated record. Lineage: Eukaryota; Metazoa; Chordata; Mammalia; Carnivora; Mustelidae.
AGGAUAAAGUCCUCAAGACUGAUUUUUCACAGCUGAAACCGGUCUACCUUGAAUAGUGGCUGUUCGAGAGAGGCCGAGACUAAAAACUCCUGGAAGAAAAGAGAAGAAUGAAAUAGCAUCACCAGCAUGUGGAUGAAUGUCAAGUAGCGGAAGAGGCUGGACCACGUAGCAAAGAUGACUUUCUUGCCCAUGCUGUGCCUGAUGAUGGAUGGAAGACCUCCGAAGCUCUAGUCCUUGAAUUUCCCUUCUCUGACCCCUGGAGAAAGCCACUGUGUUAAACACUGGUCCAGCUUGGCCUAAUCUUUAUCUCUGGGGGCUCCUCCCCUCUAUUCACCAUUGCUACCACAGGGUCAGUCUGGCGGGGAAAGGGAAUGGGGUGGGGAAAGGUGGGGCCUGGAUAAACCUUGGUUAUAAUGUUUAUCUAGCAGACAGAAAAACCAUGAUGCCUUCAGAUCCUUCUCCUUGGUGUGAACAGUAGGACCCCGAUAUUGGUCAAGUCCACCAGGGGCAGUGUGUUGCUGUGGACUUUGUGGUUCUAGACAG